AGAGGAGGCAGCUCGUGGGUGAUCAGGGAAAGAAAGAAAGAAAGAAGAAGAAGAAGAAGAAGAAGAAGAAGAGAAAGAAAAUUGGGGCUUUUAGGGUUCUUGCUUUAAUCUUGUCAUUUCGGGUCAAGAUUUGCAAAGGAUAGCGUAUCGCUUGCUUAAAUGUUAAGAAUGGGCUGGGGCAGUGGAAAGUUUAGAAGACGUUGGGCAGAACUUUUGUUAGCAUAUAUGUAGUUGUGUAUAAGCUACCUUGCAUCUAAUGAAAUGUGACUAUAAAUCUAAACCUGUGGAUUUUGUGUAAGUUGAAGGAUCCCUCAUGUAUAGGGUUUUGGAAUGUUAAAUUAAAUUUGUGUAAUGAUAUGAACUUAUGGUAAAUCGAUGAUUGUGGUGACUGCAUGGAUUUCCCCACUUGUGGAUUUAUAUUGUGGUUUUUAUUUUGAUGAGUCGAGUUUAGAUUGUAUGAAUUAUCGAGUGAUGUGUGCUAUGUUUAUGAAUUGUACAGGGUUAUGAAUUGGUAGAUUAUAGAAGUGAAAUUUUUGAUCUGAAUGUUUUCUUAGUGACCUCAAAUGUGUGUUUGGAUCCUGGGUUAGUUGUGACGAAAGAUUUUAAAUAUAAUGGAUAUUUUUAGGGGCGUGACAGAGGUGGUAUCAGAGCAUGAUUUGAGAAUCACUAAGAAUGUUAUGUUUUUUUUUUGAGGUUUAUUGACUAUCAUUUAGAGAUUGAUCAAAGAAAAUGUUCUUUUGAUGUUUUAGGAAGCAAGGAUGACGAGAUCAUCUGGUUCUCCUGUUGCAUCUACUACUGAUCAAUUGAGUGGUAUUAUGCGGACUUUGGAGACUAUGGCACAAGUGAUGCAACAACAACAACAACCUGUCCAACAAGGAAGUAAUGAUGGAAUAGAGACAUCAAACCGGACGGGGUUGGGAAUUGGACAGUUUAAGAAGCUUAGUCCUCCCAGUUUCAGUGGUGAGUCUGAUCCAAUGGUGGCGGAACGAUGGAUGAUGCAGAUAGAGAAAA
Molecule: long non-coding RNA, 1011 nt
Organism: Musa acuminata AAA Group (dessert banana)
Lineage: Eukaryota; Viridiplantae; Streptophyta; Magnoliopsida; Zingiberales; Musaceae
Exons: 2
Source: RefSeq, a predicted model, not a curated record